ACCAACUGUCCCUCCUCCACGUGUACGUC
RNAcentral lists this non-coding RNA (29 nucleotides) under Bombyx mori (domestic silkworm). The record is from RNAcentral. Lineage: Eukaryota; Metazoa; Arthropoda; Insecta; Lepidoptera; Bombycidae.